GUGCCAGCCCNNNNNGNAAUACGGAGGGUGCAAGCGUUAAUCGGAAUUACUGNGCGUAAAGCGCACGCAGGCGGUCUGUCAAGUCGGAUGUGAAAUCCCCGGGCUCAACCUGGGAACUGCAUUCGAAACUGGCAGGCUGGAGUCUUGUAGAGGGGGGUAGAAUUCCAGGUGUAGCGGUGAAAUGCGUAGAGAUCUGGAGGAAUACCGGUGGCGAAGGCGGCCCCCUGGACAAAGACUGACGCUCAGGUGCGAAAGCGUGGGGAGCAAACAGGAUUAGAUACCCUGGUAGUCCACGCUGUAAACGAUGUCGACUUGGAGGUUGUUCCCUUGAGGAGUGGCUUCCGGAGCUAACGCGUUAAGUCGACCGCCUGGGGAGUACGGCCGCAAGGUUAAAACUCAAAUGAAUUGACGGGGGCCCGCACAAGCGGUGGAGCAUGUGGUUUAAUUCGAUGCAACGCGAAGAACCUUACCUACUCUUGACAUCCUGAGAACUUAGCAGAGAUGCUUUGGUGCCUUCNNNAACUCUGAGACAGGUGCUGCAUGGCUGUCGUCAGCUCGUGUUGUGAAAUGUUGGGUUAAGUCCCGCAACGAGCGCAACNNUUAUNCUUUGUUGNCAGCGAUUAGGUCGGGAACUCNAAGGAGACUGNCAGUGAUAAACUGGAGGAANGUGGGGAUGACGUCNAGUCAUCAUGGCCCUUACGAGUAGGGCUACACACGUGCUACAAUGGCAUAUACAAAGAGAAGCGACCUCGCGAGAGCAAGCGGACCUCAUAAAGUAUGUCGUANUCCGGANUGGAGUCUGCNNCUCNACUCCNUGAAGUCGGAAUCGCUAGUAAUCGUGGAUCANAAUGCCNCGGUGAAUACNUUCCCGGGCCUUGUACACAC
This 885-nucleotide ribosomal RNA is filed under the name uncultured bacterium. RNAcentral describes it as "partial 16S ribosomal RNA". It matches the Rfam family "Bacterial small subunit ribosomal RNA", at positions 505 to 1390 of the family's 1533-position model. The record is from RNAcentral.